Molecule: small nucleolar RNA, 69 nt
Organism: Onthophagus taurus
Lineage: Eukaryota; Metazoa; Arthropoda; Insecta; Coleoptera; Scarabaeidae
Source: RefSeq, a predicted model, not a curated record
UAUAUAUGAUGAAAUCAACUAUCCAGUUCUGCUACUGAACUUAAAAUGAAGAUAUUACCACACUGACAU